GGGUCAGAGAUAUUUUUAGCUCCAUAUCAUCGAAUAAAAUAUAUAAAAAUAAUCUAUUCGAGAAUCAGAGUAGUACAUCAAAAUAUAUACCUUCAUAUCGACAUAUACGCUUUUGUAUUGAAACUUAUUAAUAAUAUUUUAUUUUUUUUGUUAUAGGAUGUUGGGACAUUCGACUUUUAUUCACCAGCUGCUGGAGAGGACGUACA
Molecule: long non-coding RNA, 206 nt
Filed under: Elaeis guineensis (African oil palm)
Lineage: Eukaryota; Viridiplantae; Streptophyta; Magnoliopsida; Arecales; Arecaceae
Description: long non-coding RNA (EGUI_LNC032157)
Source: RNAcentral